This 294-nucleotide unclassified non-coding RNA is filed under the name uncultured fungus. RNAcentral describes it as "partial contains small subunit ribosomal RNA, internal transcribed spacer 1, and 5.8S ribosomal RNA". The stretch from base 1 to 73 matches the Rfam family "Eukaryotic small subunit ribosomal RNA", at positions 1759 to 1831 of the family's 1831-position model. The record is from RNAcentral. Lineage: Eukaryota; Fungi.
UCAAACUUGGUCAUUUAGAGGAAGUAAAAGUCGUAACAAGGUUUCCGUAGGUGAACCUGCGGAAGGAUCAUUAACAAAUCCGUUGUGCGCGCAGCGAGUGUACGUGUAUGCGAGCUGUGUCGCCACAUUGACCGGGCUCCCGCGAGGGUGUUCGAUUCCGGUGUGUCCUUGUCGUUGCCGGCUUGGAUGCUCGGAAAAAUAGACGCAGUGUGUAUGUAUGUCUUAUGUAAUGAUUGAAUGUAAACAACUUUUAACAAUGGAUCUCUUGGCUCCUGCAUCGAUGAAGAACGCAGC